Molecule: small RNA, 2006 nt
Filed under: Pongo abelii (Sumatran orangutan)
Lineage: Eukaryota; Metazoa; Chordata; Mammalia; Primates; Hominidae
Description: retained intron
Source: RNAcentral
GCAGACUGUCAUAGAGUGGUCCCAGGUCCACUUCCUCAGGGAGAUCAUCGAGGCCAUGUUGAAAGCCUAUCAGCAGAAGCUCUUUGUGACUCACACAGUUGAUGAAUUGCUCUGGGGCUACAAAGAUGAAAUCUUGUCCCUUAUCCAUGUUUUCAGGCCCGAUAUCUCUCCCUAUUUUGGCCUAUUCUAUGAGAAAAAUGGGACUAAUGAUGGAGACUAUGUUUUUCUAACUGGAGAAGACAAUUACCUUAACUUUACAAAGAUUGUGGAAUGGAAUGGGAAAACGUCACUUGACUGGUGGAUAACAGACAAGUGCAAUAUGAUUAAUGGAACAGAUGGAGAUUCUUUUCACCCACUAAUAACCAAAGAUGAGGUCCUUUAUAUCUUCCCAUCUGAUUUUUGCAGGUCAGUGUAUAUUACUUUCAGUGACUAUGAGAGUGUACAGGGACUGCCUGCCUUUCGGUAUAAAGUUCCUGCAGAAAUAUUAGCCAAUACGUCAGACAAUGCUGGCUUCUGUAUACCUGAGGGAAACUGCCUGGGCUCAGGAGUUCUGAAUGUCAGCAUCUGCAAGAAUGGUAAGAACUCAGAGAGGGGACAUGAUAGGGGUGUCAAGAAUGCAGAAGGAUUGGAUUUCAAUGAAGAAUAUGUAGCUGGGCAUAGUGGCACACACCUACAGUCCCAGCUACUAAGGAUGCUGAGGUGGGAUGAUCACUUGAGCCCAGGAGUUCUCAAGUCCAUCCUGGGCAACAUAGCGAGACCCCAUCUCUAAAAAACAAAACAAACAAAAAAGAAUAUAUUGUCAGCCCAAUAGAAAGAUCAGUUUCUUUCAAGAAUAAUGUCUCAUAACAUGGCUAUUGAAUGGUAAAAAAAACAAUUAUUGGCUUUUCUAUGAUGCUUUUUAUUUCUAGAAUGCCAUGUUGUGUUUUUGUUUUCUGGACAGUGGUUUAGAAGUCUUAACAGUAAUAAUAGCUCAUGUUUACUAAGCACCUGAUGUAUGCCAGUUGCUGUCCUAAGUGCUUUACAUAUUUACAUGUAGUUAAUGCAUGCAAAACAUUAACUGAUUUCAUGUUCAAAACAAUGCUAAGGCUGGGCACGGUGGCUCAUGCUUGUAUUCCCAGCACUUUGAGAGGCCUAGGUGUGAGGAUUGCUUGAGGCCAGGGGUUCAAGAUCAGCCUGGGCAACAUAGCAAGACCCUGUCUCUACAAAAAAAAAAAAAGUAAAAAAUUAGCUGGGUGUGGCUAUACCUGUAGUCACAGCUGCUCAGGAGGCUGAGGCAGGGAGAUUGCUUGAGCCCAGGAGUUCGAGGUUGCAGUGUGCUAUGAUUGUGCUACUGCACUCCAGCCUGGGCAAAAGAGUGAUUCCGCACCUACCCGCCAAAAAAAAAAAAAAAAAAAAAAAAAAAAGCUAAAAGAAAAAGUGGACAACUCAGUUUUAAGAAAGUACGUAUCAUGGCAAAGAUUCUCAGUGAUUUGAAAGCCGAGUUAGUUUUAAACCCUGACACAAAUGUCCCAGUGUUUCUUAAUGUCAGAGCUACUCUGCUCCUUUCCAUGAAUGAGGCAGAAUUAUCAGUGGCACAACUGACAAAACUAUUUUCUUCAUCUUGAAGAGUAGUUUUAACAGCCACAUGUUGCAGAAUUAUUCACAGCGAACUUACUAGAUAGUAGACAUUCAGUGGCCUGUUUUUAUAAUUGGGGAAACUAGGGCUCAGAGAGGGAACAUGAUUUUGAUGCGACUCCUCCCUCUGAGCAGAUCCCUGGCGGAACUCAGGGUCUUCUCAUAUUUGCCCUGUGAUUCCCUCUUGGGCUAUAAUUCCUCUUUAAAAUUUCUCUGGAGAUCUCUCUGUGUAGUCCCUUUCUCCUGAAUAAAGUAAUGUGCUCACUUUUGCUCCCUUAUCUAACUCAUUUUAAAAUCUCCUUUCAGGCCUGGCAUGGUGGCGUGUGCCUGUAGGCCCAGCUACUCAGGAGGCUAUGGUGGGAGGGUCGCUUGAGCCCAGUUUGAUUCUAGCC